RNAcentral lists this ribosomal RNA (358 nucleotides) under uncultured bacterium. Its description in RNAcentral is "partial 16S ribosomal RNA". It matches the Rfam family "Bacterial small subunit ribosomal RNA", at positions 338 to 713 of the family's 1533-position model. The record is from RNAcentral.
CCUACGGGUGGCAGCAGUGAGGAAUAUUGGGCAAUGGGGGCAACCCUGACCCAGCCAUGCCGCGUGAGUGAAGAAGGUCUUCGGAUUGUAAAGCUCUUUCGGACGUGACGAUGAUGACGGUAGCGUCUAAAGAAGCACCAGCAAACUACGUGCCAGCGGCCGCGGUAAAACGAAGAGUGCGAGCGUUGAUCGGAAUUACUGGGCGUAAAGGGAGUGUAGGCGAAUAUGUAAGAUAGGGGUGAAAUGCCGGACCUCAACCCCGGAACUGCCAUUAUGACUAUGUAUCUAGAGUAAUGAAGAGAAUAGCAAAAUACCCGGUGUAGAAGUGAAAUUGGUAGAUAUUGGGUAGAACAGCGGU